Long non-coding RNA from Rosa chinensis, 1464 nucleotides. RefSeq lists it as uncharacterized. Lineage: Eukaryota; Viridiplantae; Streptophyta; Magnoliopsida; Rosales; Rosaceae. The transcript has 4 exons. The record is from RefSeq and is a predicted model, not a curated record.
AGGGCUUGCUACACCUAAUUGAGUUAAAGAUCAUUCAACAACGUCAUUAUUGAUCCUGAUUGCUUUGCUAUAAAAGUACAAGGAAAUUAACCAUUAAGGUCAUUUGAAUCUUCCUGAAACCAUUUGUGUGAAGUCAUUGAGUUGAGCAUGGGCAGUCCUCAAAGAAGCUAAGGAAAAGGUGUUCUUUACGGUGGACUUAACUGAUCCAGCUGUUGUUGCGUAUGUGGAUUCCAAAAUGUCUACUGCUUACUCCCAAUUCAAGACUCGUCUAAAGAAGGAAUGGAAAGCAUUUGGCUCACCUGAGCUAGGAAGAGCAAAUUUGCCUAGUGCAGAUUUAUGGAAUGAGAGACCUAUCUCACAUUGGCACUGGCUUUGUGACAACAUAUACACCAACCAGUCUUGCAUUGUAUGGAUUCAUUAAUUUCUUUGGUUUUAUUAUUCAAUUAUUCUAACUGAACUUUUAUAGAUUUGAUUGAUAAUGAAGGAGAUUGCGGAAAAGAAUUCUGCUAACAGGUAUAUGCAACAACAUACUCACAGAGCUGGUGCACGACCAUACGUGCAACAUGCUUUGGUGGCCUCUAAGGUAAAAUUGAAUUAGUUUCAAGUUCAAAAGCCACUCUCAACUGAUUAUUAAUAUAUAUAUAUAUAUGUGUGUGUGUGUGUGUGUGUGUGUGUGUGUGUGUGUGUGUAUUUGUUUAAUGGAGGGUGGGAAGGAGUUGUCAUUCAUACAGAAUUGUGGAGAGAAACACAAGGAUAAUAAUCAUGAAUGGAUCAAUGAGGUUGCCAAGAACAAAUUGAGAAGAUGGAGGCUGAGAGGAAUGCCCUUUUAGAGAAGUUGUACAAAGAGGCACCCGAGGGUACCGCACAUGAUUCUAUCAAACUGACUUUGGAAGCUGAGUACCCAAUAAUGGCUAAGGAGCUUGGGAGGAAGGGUAGGAUGAUCCAUUGCAUUGGUAAUGUCCCUCACAUACGUUCUAACAUACGCAGAGUAUUUGCAUGGGGUGGCAACAAUUCUGAGGUAGCUGAAUUGCGUGAUCUUAUCGACCAACUUACCUUUAACAUGCUCAGUAUGAAGGAACAAAAUGGACUAUUGAAGGCUCAAGUGGAAUGUUUAUUGAGGCAAUCUCUUGGAUAGAUGAGUGAGGAUGACUUCCCCCAUCCUAGCACCAACUGCUAAGACUUUGCUUGAGUAGUUUGGGUGAGCAUUUGCUAGACUUUUGGUCUGAUGUCCCUUUUUGUGCAGUUAUAGCUUUUUACCUUGAUUAUGGUACUGUCUGGCAAUACUCAAGCAAAUCCAAUGUGUCCCUUUUGAGUAAUGCAAGCUGACACAUAACUAGUAUAUUAGAACUUUGGUGGAUUUACUUGAGUUUUGACCAUGUGCCUUACUCAGCUCAAAGUCUCAACACAUAUAGGACAUCUAAUUAGAUUAGUGCAGUGCUUCUAACUUUUGAUGUACAAAUGAAC